UACGUAGGGGGCAAGCGUUGUCCGGAAUUAUUGGGCGUAAAGAGCUCGUAGGCGGUGUGUCGCGUCGGGCGUGAAAACCUGCAGCUUAACUGUGGGCUUGCGGUCGAUACGGGCAUCACUGGAGUUCGGCAGGGGAGACUGGAAUUCCUGGUGUAGCGGUGAAAUGCGCAGAUAUCAGGAGGAACACCGGUGGCGAAGGCGGGUCUCUGGGCCGAUACUGACGCUGAGGAGCGAAAGCGUGGGGAGCGAACAGG
Molecule: ribosomal RNA, 254 nt
Filed under: uncultured bacterium
Lineage: Bacteria
Description: partial 16S ribosomal RNA
Rfam family: Bacterial small subunit ribosomal RNA
Source: RNAcentral